UUGUUUCGUUCUUUUCUUCUUUGCAUAUGAUUUAGAUGAAGAUUGCAAGAUUGUUUCCAGGAUUAGGCAAAGAUCGUCGUGGACAUGGAUGGAUUCAAGCAUCUCGAUCUCCAGCAGUGUGAGAAAUUUAAGGAAUUUGGAGCACCUGAGUUUCAUCAUGACUGCGCGAAGGAACUCGAAAUUCAUAGUGAGUUCAAAGUCUGCUAGGUGGCCCUAUUCAUAACACGUGUGAAAGGUAAGUGUGCAAAUAGACCCACAUUAAGGUGCAAUUAAUUAAGUAAGGUGAUGCAUUCUUGCAUGCAAAACUGCUCCUUUUGGACCCACUUUGGCCAUCCUCAUAACCCUAGCGAAAUCUACCCUCGUAGGACCAUGAUUCUACUAUGAAUUUCGUGUUCCAUCCUGCAGCCAUGGCUGAUAGCAACUCUGGUACCCCCAAUUCCUUUAAUUUCUCACACUGCAAAAACAACAAUCAAAGGCCAAGAAUAUCAAUUCAUCAUAUUGAAAUUCAACCGGAAGAUAUAUCCAUCCAUUUGUGUCGAUGUAUGCUUUCAAUGCUGAUUCUGGACACCAAACGAGCUUCAUGGUGUGUGACCGUGUGUGAGUGAGUCUUUCUUUUUAUUUCUUUCUCUCUAGCUGUGAACAGUUAUAUAUCUUCACUUUCUGAGUUUUUUUGGAUAUCGUGUGAGGGGGUGAUUAAUAGAGAUAGUGAGGGGACACUUUGAUGUACCGGGUAGAGUUAGGAAUAUAUAUAUAUAUAUAUAUAUAUAAAAGGCAGCUUGAUUUCUUAGUUUUUUUCUUCUCAAUAUGCAACUUAAAAAAAAAUUAGUUGUGUUUAUUAGUUGUGGCCCAUAAGGAAAUAUUUAUCGAGGAACAAGAAAGGAG
Glycine soja is the source of this 882-nucleotide long non-coding RNA. RefSeq lists it as uncharacterized. Lineage: Eukaryota; Viridiplantae; Streptophyta; Magnoliopsida; Fabales; Fabaceae. The transcript has 3 exons. The record is from RefSeq and is a predicted model, not a curated record.